ACGUAUGUCCCGAGCGUUAUCCGGAUUUAUUGGGCGUAAAGCGAGCGCAGACGGUUGAUUAAGUCUGAUGUGAAAGCCCGGAGCUCAACUCCGGAAUGGCAUUGGAAACUGGUUAACUUGAGUGUUGUAGAGGUAAGUGGAACUCCAUGUGUAGCGGUGGAAUGCGUAGAUAUAUGGAAGAACACCAGUGGCGAAGGCGGCUUACUGGACAACAACUGACGUUGAGGCUCGAAAGUGUGGGUAGCAAACAG
Molecule: ribosomal RNA, 251 nt
Filed under: uncultured bacterium
Lineage: Bacteria
Description: partial 16S ribosomal RNA
Rfam family: Bacterial small subunit ribosomal RNA
Source: RNAcentral